AUUGAACGCUGGCGGCAGGCCUAACACAUGCAAGUCGAACGGGAACAGGAAGAAGCUUGCUUCUUUGCUGACGAGUGGCGGACGGGUGGGUAAUGUCUGGGAAACUUCCUGAUGGAGGGGGAUAACUACUGGAAACGGUAGCUAAUACCGCAUAACGUCGCAAGACCAAAGAGGGGGACCUUCGGGCCUCUUGCCCUCGGAUGUGCCCAGAUGGGAUUAGCUUGUUGGUGGGGUAACGGCUCACCAAGGCGACGAUCCCUAGCUGGUCUGAGAGGAUGACCAGCCACACUGGAACUGAGACACGGUCCAGACUCCUACGGGAGGCAGCAGUGGGGAAUAUUGCACAAUGGGCGCAAGCCUGAUGCAGCCAUGCCGCGUGUAUGAAGAAGGCCUUCGGGUUGUAAAGUACUUUCAGCGGGGAGGAAGGGAGUAAAGUUAAUACCUUUGCUCAUUGACGUUACCCGCAGAAGAAGCACCGGCUAACUCCGUG
This 490-nucleotide ribosomal RNA is filed under the name uncultured bacterium. RNAcentral's name for it is "partial 16S ribosomal RNA". It matches the Rfam family "Bacterial small subunit ribosomal RNA", at positions 30 to 507 of the family's 1533-position model. The record is from RNAcentral.